AGGACGAACGCUGGCGGCGUGCUUAACACAUGCAAGUCGAACGGAAAGGCCCUUUCGGGGGUACUCGAGUGGCGAACGGGUGAGUAACACGUGGGUGAUCUGCCCUGCACUUCGGGAUAAGCUUGGGAAACUGGGUCUAAUACCGGAUAGGACUACGGACUUCAUGGUUUGUGGUGGAAAGCUUUUGCGGUGUGGGAUGGGCCCGCGGCCUAUCAGCUUGUUGGUGGGGUGAUGGCCUACCAAGGCG
Molecule: ribosomal RNA, 247 nt
Filed under: uncultured bacterium
Lineage: Bacteria
Description: partial small subunit ribosomal RNA
Rfam family: Bacterial small subunit ribosomal RNA
Source: RNAcentral